Molecule: ribosomal RNA, 484 nt
Filed under: uncultured bacterium
Lineage: Bacteria
Description: partial 16S ribosomal RNA
Rfam family: Bacterial small subunit ribosomal RNA
Source: RNAcentral
AUUGAACGCUGGCGGCAGGCCUAACACAUGCAAGUCGAGCGGAUGAAGGGAGCUUGCUCCUGGAUUCAGCGGCGGACGGGUGAGUAAUGCCUAGGAAUCUGCCUGGUAGUGGGGGAUAACGUCCGGAAACGGGCGCUAAUACCGCAUACGUCCUGAGGGAGAAAGUGGGGGAUCUUCGGACCUCACGCUAUCAGAUGAGCCUAGGUCGGAUUAGCUAGUUGGUGGGGUAAAGGCCUACCAAGGCGACGAUCCGUAACUGGUCUGAGAGGAUGAUCAGUCACACUGGAACUGAGACACGGUCCAGACUCCUACGGGAGGCAGCAGUGGGGAAUAUUGGACAAUGGGCGAAAGCCUGAUCCAGCCAUGCCGCGUGUGUGAAGUAGGUCUUCGGAUUGUAAAGCACUUUAAGUUGGGAGGAAGGGCAGUAAGUUAAUACCUUGCUGUUUUGACGCUACCAACAGAAUAAGCACCGGCUAACUUCGUG